This 505-nucleotide ribosomal RNA is filed under the name uncultured bacterium. RNAcentral describes it as "partial 16S ribosomal RNA". It matches the Rfam family "Bacterial small subunit ribosomal RNA", at positions 28 to 507 of the family's 1533-position model. The record is from RNAcentral.
GACGAACGCUGGCGGCGUGCCUAAUACAUGCAAGUAGAACGCACAGUUUAUACCGUAGCUUGCUACACCAUAGACUGUGAGUUGCGAACGGGUGAGUAACGCGUAGGUAACCUGCCUGGUAGCGGGGGAUAACUAUUGGAAACGAUAGCUAAUACCGCAUAAUAUUAAUUAUUGCAUGAUAAUUAAUUGAAAGGUGCAAUUGCACCACUACCAGAUGGACCUGCGUUGUAUUAGCUAGUAGGUGAGGUAACGGCCCACCUAGGCGACGAUACAUAGCCGACCUGAGAGGGUGAUCGGCCACACUGGGACGGAGACACGGCCCAGACUCCUACGGGAGGCAGCAGUAGGGAAUCUUCGGCAAUGGACGAAAGUCUGACCGAGCAACGCCGCGUGAGUGAAGAAGGGUUUCGGAUCGUAAAGCUCGGUUGUAAGAGAAGAACGGGUGUGAGAGUGGAAAGUUCACACUGUGACGGUAUCUUACCAGAAAGGGACGGCUAACUACGUG